GUGUACUGUGUCGAUGUAAUUAUACACACUGAUAUAUUAAAUAUAAAUUUCUUAUAUCAGCGGAUCAUUUUCAAAUAGUCAUGCUGUGUAAUAGUAACACUGUGAAAACGUGUUUAAAAUAUUUAUAAAAAAUGAAUUGCAUUCUUGCUUACGUGUUUAUUGCUGCGAGUCAGAGUAAAGGUAGCCUGUCUUUCUUGAUGGACGGUCAACCUGGAAAUCUCCAAGAAGUUACACAUGAGCUGUUCAAGUUGCAGACAGAAGUUGCAAUCCUGAAAGACAUGGUGGCAAAUUUACAAGAAUCGUGUCCUUCGUGUGCCGUAUCCACUAGGCAACCGGCUCCAGCAUUUUCGGCAAUUCUGACUUCUGAAAGCAUAACAUGUUCUACCGAUGCCCCGAUAGUUUUCAACAAGGAACUACUCGAUACAAGAAUGGCAUACGAUGUUCGUCAUGGAACAUUCCGUGCACCAGUGUAAGAUUAUUAUAAAAAUAAAAUGUGAAUGCUGAACACAAUAUAAACACAUGAAAAUACUAACAAUUGAGUGUACUAUGCUUGUUAUAUGUUGUUUGUUAACAAUGGAUGAAUCAAAUAUAGCGAUGCCUAUAUAUGUAUUCCAUGUCAAUUAUAACUUGAAAUUAGGACACUCUCACUCUCCAGUGAUAAGUGAUUUAUUAAUUGAUGUAUGUAAUUUGAUCAUUGUAAUUAUUUAUAUUCAGCACGCAUGUCUGUAAAUUUAUCAUGUAUUUGUAUAUGACGAUAAGCUUGUUAUGAUUAAGUCAAAAUAAAUAUUAUUUUCUGUUC
Dreissena polymorpha is the source of this 799-nucleotide long non-coding RNA. RefSeq lists it as uncharacterized. Lineage: Eukaryota; Metazoa; Mollusca; Bivalvia; Myida; Dreissenidae. The transcript is spliced from 2 exons. The record is from RefSeq and is a predicted model, not a curated record.